This 247-nucleotide ribosomal RNA is filed under the name uncultured bacterium. RNAcentral describes it as "partial 16S ribosomal RNA". It matches the Rfam family "Bacterial small subunit ribosomal RNA", at positions 524 to 776 of the family's 1533-position model. The record is from RNAcentral.
UACGGAGGGUGCAAGCGUUAUCCGGAUUCACUGGGUUUAAAGGGAGCGUAGGUGGCUUUGUAAGUCAGUGGUGAAAUCUUAGAGCUUAACUCUAAACUGCCAUUGAUACUGCUUAGCUUGAAUCACGUCGAGGUGGAUGGAAUAUUACAUGUAGCGGUGAAUGCUUAGAUAUGUAAUAGAACACCGAUUGCGAAGGCAGUUCACUAGGCGUGUAUUGACACUGAGGCUCGAAGCGUGGAUCAACAGG